RNAcentral lists this long non-coding RNA (178 nucleotides) under Chinchilla lanigera (long-tailed chinchilla). RNAcentral describes it as "lncRNA (ENSCLAG00000022640.1)". The record is from RNAcentral. Lineage: Eukaryota; Metazoa; Chordata; Mammalia; Rodentia; Chinchillidae.
UUUAAUGCUUUUUUAUAGGAGAAGAAAGGUUGCAUGCAUAAGGACCACAUACCAGAAUUGAAGAGACCCAGCAAGAGAAAAUUGACACCAACAGUUGAAGAUUUGGAAGAAAUUAUACGUAAGUACAUGUGGUUUUGAAAAGCCUUAAACUUUUCACUUGUGGUGAUAAAUGUAACCU